AAUGAACGCUGGCGGCAGGCCUAACACAUGCAAGUCGAACGGAUCCUUCGGGAUUAGUGGCGGACGGGUGAGUAACGCGUGGGAACAUACCCUUUGGUACGGAAUAGCCUCGGGAAACUGGGAGUAAUACCGUAUGUGGUCGAGAGACGAAAGAUUUAUCGCCAAAGGAUUGGCCCGCGUUGGAUUAGGUAGUUGGGGGGUAAUGGCCUACCAAGCCGACGAUCCAUAGCUGGUUUGAGAGGAUGAUCAGCCACACUGGGACUGAGACACGGCCCAGACUCCUACGGGAGGCAGCAGUGGGGAAUCUUAGACAAUGGGGGAAACCCUGAUCUAGCCAUGCCGCGUGAUUGAUGAAGGCCUUAGGGUUGUAAAGAUCUUUCAGGUGGGAAGAUAAUGACUGUACCACCAGAAGAAGCCCCGGCUAACUCCGUGCCAGCAGCCGCCGUAA
RNAcentral lists this ribosomal RNA (448 nucleotides) under uncultured bacterium. RNAcentral's name for it is "partial 16S ribosomal RNA". It matches the Rfam family "Bacterial small subunit ribosomal RNA", at positions 29 to 523 of the family's 1533-position model. The record is from RNAcentral.